Xiphophorus hellerii (green swordtail) is the source of this 1309-nucleotide long non-coding RNA. RefSeq lists it as uncharacterized. The record is from RefSeq and is a predicted model, not a curated record. The transcript has 5 exons. Lineage: Eukaryota; Metazoa; Chordata; Actinopteri; Cyprinodontiformes; Poeciliidae.
UGCCCUGACAGAAAUAUUCAGUUAAAUUUUACAGAGUAAAGGAAAUAAAAAUUAUUUCAUUGUUGAAUUUACUCCACUAGGGGGCACUGCAGUUUAUUCCACACUUGAUGGCGGACCGGAAGUGACUUGAUGGCGGAACGGAAGUGACUUGAUGGCGGACCGGAAGUGACUUGACGGCGGACUGGAAGUGGUUUAUGCCGCUGGCAGCUGCAGCAGCUUCUGUUCAGAGUUAUUGAUUCACCUUCUCUUCAGCUGGGAACUCAACAAACUUUGAAAUACCUCUGCAGCGGCAUUAAGAGUACAAAGCAUGAGAAAAGCCUCCAGUUAAAGGAGCACAAGAUAGGCUCCUCUGAUGUUCUAAACCGAUUAGCGUUGAGGUCUGAAGCAGAAGAAGGAGAGAGGCUGGAGAAGGAUGGAGUGAUCGGAAACGCUUCAGAGUGCAGAAGCUGUGGGGCUCCACGCGGCCAUGACCACGGGAAUCUGAAAAGCACCUUGGAGGACUGUACAGCCGAUCUGGUUCCAAUUCUCUGACUCUUCAUAUCAAGUGCUUUAAAAGAGGUCUAAACACUAAGGUCAUUUUCUGUGGAUACAAGAGGCAUGCAGCAGUGAUAAAAGCCACCAUAUGUACCUAGCCACUCGCUUCAGGAGGUAAACCUAGCUCAAUCCCAGGAAGAAAAACUCCCAUCAUGAGCUCAAGUACAAGCUAAAGUGGACCUCUAAUCAAAGGUAACAUCCGUCCGUCCGUUACUGGUAACAGCCAUGAGAAGACAAUUGUCAACGGUGUCAAACUUCAGUCCUCUACAUUCUAUACAUAGUUCCCACAAGACUGAAUAGGAUCUGCGCCAUUUUGAUAGACAAGCAAAGAAUAGAUGAACCAUGGCUUCCAGACCAACAAAAAGAAAAUAUAUGGACUCUGUAACCAAUGUGCGAGAGAAAGAUGUAUGAACCAAAUGGCUGCUGUCAGGAUCAACCCGUAUGAGACAGAGAAGGAAAACAUGUAAGACGAUGUGGACAAGAUGCCUCCGAUCUAUACUAUGACAUAGUUCAUAGUUUUACUCAGUAAAAACGAAGAGCGUGUACAACCUGAAAUCAAUGAACAAUAAAUGUAAAAACAGAUUUUAAAAAGACGUGCAACUGAAUAACAAGGUUCUGUUGACUGGCGUAGUAAGUACAUGUAGAAACUUACAUGAAGGCUACAUUCUUAUGAAAGCUACAUUAGCUAAGCUAAUUUAGCUAGUUUGGCACUAAGUACCACAGCAAAGAUCUGUGAUAUUUAUCUGAGUGUGAGAGAGAGCACUUACAAAUUGUG